RNAcentral lists this long non-coding RNA (874 nucleotides) under Pan troglodytes (chimpanzee). RNAcentral describes it as "lincRNA". Lineage: Eukaryota; Metazoa; Chordata; Mammalia; Primates; Hominidae. The record is from RNAcentral.
GUUGAGGUUUGCUAGCAAACCAAACUCUAACAAAGAACACUGUUUAUUUUUUCUUUUCUUUUCUUGAGAUAGAUAUUUUUUAUUUUAAGUUCUGGGAUACAUGUGCAGAACGUGCAGGUUUGCUACAUAGAUACACAUGUGCCAUGGUGGUUUGCUGCACCUAUCAACCCAUCAUCUAGGUUUUAAGCCCUGUUUUGAUUUGAAUAUUAUUCAAUACAAGUGAAGAUUGAAAUGUGGACAUUUAUGCUAAGAACAGCUUCUGGAAUUAUAGAUUUGCCUUGUAUUCUUACCAAUUGUAAGAUGGAUAAACAAGCAGAAAUUCAAAAUGACAUAAUUAUAUUUCUUUGCAUCUGGAUUUUAUUCUGUUCCUGGUUCAAGUUUCAAGAUUGCCAAGAAUGACGAGUUGGACUUGGUCUAGUUACUUCCACAGCAGCAGGAGGAACAUGUGUGUGACUCAGGAUAACUGGGGAAGCCUUGGCUAGGCUUUCCUCAUGUCAACCUACCACUCAAAGGGAGAAAACCUCCUGAUCAGAGGAAAUCCAUAAUUUUUGAAUGCUGGCUGAGGUCUGUGACCUCUGACUGAAUGGUUUCCAAGCUCCGAAUUCCUAGGUGAUGUUUUCAUUUGUUCACAGUUGCUGAAGAAGGGAAAGGCUCUCUGAUUUACGUGUAAGCAAAACAAUCUAAACAGUAGGAUAAAAUCAUGUUGGAAUGGAGUUCUGUGUGGAUGCUCCUUUGAACCAAAUCAGUUCCACAACUGACCCUGUCAGGGACAUAUAAAUUUAGCAUUUUGGUGUGGAUACAGAAGACGAGAUUAACACAGAUCAAGUAACAUGGAAAUAAAAAAGGAGACAAUGCUGGAUGAUACAGGGGCAGC